UGACUCUAGCUUGCAUCAAGUUGACCAAAAAU
RNAcentral lists this non-coding RNA (32 nucleotides) under Rattus norvegicus (Norway rat). The record is from RNAcentral. Lineage: Eukaryota; Metazoa; Chordata; Mammalia; Rodentia; Muridae.